GAUGAACGCUGGCGGCGUGCCUAACACAUGCAAGUCGAGCGAUUCUCUUCGGAGAAGAGCGGCGGACGGGUGAGUAACGCGUGGGUAACCUGCCCUGUACACACGGAUAACAUACCGAAAGGUAUGCUAAUACGGGAUGAUAUGAAAGAGUCGCAUGGCUUUUUCAUCAAAGCUCCGGCGGUACAGGAUGGACCCGCGUCUGAUUAGCUAGUUGGUGAGGUAAUGGCUCACCAAGGCGACGAUCAGUAGCCGACCUGAGAGGGUGAUCGGCCACAUUGGAACUGAGACACGGUCCAAACACCUACGGGUGGCUG
Molecule: ribosomal RNA, 314 nt
Filed under: uncultured Bacillota bacterium
Lineage: Bacteria; Bacillati; Bacillota
Description: bacterial SSU rRNA
Rfam family: Bacterial small subunit ribosomal RNA
Source: RNAcentral